This is a long non-coding RNA of Cryptotermes secundus, 869 nucleotides long. RefSeq lists it as uncharacterized. The transcript is spliced from 5 exons. The record is from RefSeq and is a predicted model, not a curated record. NCBI's taxonomy places the organism in Eukaryota, Metazoa, Arthropoda, Insecta, Blattodea, Kalotermitidae.
AUGGGUUCAUUUCACUCAGUGACAGAGGCACAUCGCAAGCCUUCAAAGGUUCUGGUGGCGUCGGAGCUGCCAAGCUGUCUGCGUGCGUGUGUUUGGUGUUGCGGACUAGCGACGGCAGUGGAAGUAUUGCUGUUGGGAGAUGAGUCCUCCUCCUGUGUUCUUUGGGAGAAUGCGCAGACGAGCACGAGGAAAAUAUUCAGAGCAGGAGUGUGGAUAAGCAGUCUCUACCGCAGCGGGAGGAGCCAGGACAGCUCAGUCGGUAUAGCAAAUAGCUACAAGCUGGAUUACUGGAGUUUGAUUCUUGGCAGGUGCAAGAUCGACUCUGGAGCCUACCCAGCCUUAUAUAAAUUGGCUGCCGUCGAUUCUUUCCCUGGAGAUAAGCGGACGUGGCGUGGAGCUGACCACACCUACAACUAGAGCCGAGGUUACGUCCUGGCGCUUCAGUCGCUAGACAGCACGAUGGCAGAUUAAUUGCAAAUGGAAGCAGUCGUAAGCUAAUAGAGGAGACCCGCAGCUGCAAACCGCAUGAUGACGUCUUUCUCGGCGCGACACAAUUCGACUGGCAGGCUGACUGUGCAUCAGGAGGCUGCGCCUCAGUAAGCACUGCCCUGUGGCUAGGAGCGCGGUAAUUCGUGCGCAAGGGACACUCGUGUAACUAUUCCACGGGAAAAUUCUGACAGUUCACAGCUGUAACUAGGUCUUCCACAGAAAACUCUCACCUGUCGCAACCCUUAAAAUAUCACAAUCUCAAUGAAUGUACACGCUCUGAAGUCGGAAGUUUCGGGAAACAAAGUGACACAGAAUAUGCAUAUGGCGUUUCUGUUAAGUCUAUGGUAUAUUAAAAUGUAAGUCUACUUACUUACUAACUA